GUGGGAUGUCUCUCUCUCCCCCACUCUCUGUUUCCCUUUCUUUUUUGUCCCCUCUCUCCAGGGCUCCUGAUUUCUCUUCAGCCUGACGCUCUUUUCAGUUAACUGCAAGGCGGUGCACCCGAGUCCAGUGGCGUCCUACCUGGUGACCUCCUACCUGUGCUGGGACGCCAGCGACUUGAUGCUGCACACCGGAGCCGUGUCCUACCUAAGCCCAGUGGGCAUGUGAAGCAGAGGGCAGCCCUUGAAUGCGCGGCGGCUGAGCUAUCGCGGGUGGGCCGUGCAGCAGGGCGCAGCGAGGCGGACAUCCAAACAGCGGAACUCAGACACAGACUCCGAGCACACCCCGGGCCUUCCCAUUUCAUACACCCUCGAGGAUGAGACCCAAGCACCUCCAAGGAAUAGCACCCGAGCUCUUCAGGACACUGACCGGUGGCCAUGGCCAGAUGCCCGGCCAACCCCUUCAGCGUGGCCACGCCCCGGAUAUUCGACCUCCCCUGAGGCCCCACCCCCUGAUAUCAGGCCACGCCCCCCAAGGGGACCGGUGGCAAACUCCAACCCUCGCUCUAGGGCCCGCCCUUUGCGGCUUUGUCCCUGCCCACUGGGUCCUCACAGUACCUCCACCCCAGAAGUCCAGCAUCCCCUCCCGUUCUGCAGACACUUGUCCAGUGUCCUGCUAAGCUCGGCAGUGUGGCUAGUUUGUGUGGCCCUGCCCCUGGUGCCCAGCCUUCGCAGGCCACACCCUGAAGCCACUCUCCACCCCCUCAGCCAGGGUGGUCUGCAUGGAACUUCUUUUCCCGGAGUUCUAGUCUCAGCUCCGAUGUCCACCCUUGUCCCCAGGUGGACACAGAACCGCCCAGCAUUUGGUGCAACUCCACCCUUCUGCGGAACGGGCCCCUCCCUGGGAAGGCAUGGCUUGCAAUAACAUCCCUCUGUACCUUUUCUGGCUUCCCCGCCACAAUAAAACACGGGCACUUGCUAACCUCUCAGCCUCAGA
Molecule: long non-coding RNA, 994 nt
Filed under: Pongo abelii (Sumatran orangutan)
Lineage: Eukaryota; Metazoa; Chordata; Mammalia; Primates; Hominidae
Description: lincRNA
Source: RNAcentral